RNAcentral lists this ribosomal RNA (253 nucleotides) under uncultured bacterium. RNAcentral describes it as "partial 16S ribosomal RNA". It matches the Rfam family "Bacterial small subunit ribosomal RNA", at positions 524 to 776 of the family's 1533-position model. The record is from RNAcentral.
UACAGAGGGUGCGAGCGUUAAUCGGAAUUACUGGGCGUAAAGCGCGCGUAGGCGGCUUUGCAAGUCGGGUGUGAAAUCCCCAGGCUUAACCUGGGAACUGCAUUCGAGACUGCAUUGCUAGAGUAUGGGAGAGGGAAGUGGAAUUUUCGGUGUAGCGGUGAAAUGCGUAGAUAUCGGAAGGAACAUCAGUGGCGAAAGCGACUUCCUGGACCAAUACUGACGCUCAUGUGCGAAAGCGUGGGGAGCAAACAGG